Molecule: ribosomal RNA, 484 nt
Filed under: uncultured bacterium
Lineage: Bacteria
Description: partial 16S ribosomal RNA
Rfam family: Bacterial small subunit ribosomal RNA
Source: RNAcentral
AUUGAACGCUGGCGGCAGGCCUAACACAUGCAAGUCGAGCGGAUGAAGGGAGCUUGCUCCUGGAUUCAGCGGCGGACGGGUGAGUAAUGCCUAGGAAUCUGCCUGGUAGUGGGGGAUAACGUCCGGAAACGGGCGCUAAUACCGCAUACGUCCUGAGGGAGAAAGUGGGGGAUCUUCGGACCUCACGCUAUCAGAUGAGCCUAGGUCGGAUUAGCUAGUUGGUGGGGUAAAGGCCUACCAAGGCGACGAUCCGUAACUGGUCUGAGAGGAUGAUCAGUCACACUGGAACUGAGACACGGUCCAGACUCCUACGGGAGGCAGCAGUGGGGAAUAUUGGACAAUGGGCGAAAGCCUGACGCAGCCACGCCGCGUGUGUGAAGAAGGUCUUCGGAUCGUAAAGCACUGUAAGUAGGGAGGAAGGGCAGUAAGUGAAUACCUGGCUGUUUUGACGUUACCAAAAGAGAAAGCACCGGCUAACUACGUG